UACGUAGGGUGCAAGCGUUGUCCGGAAUUAUUGGGCGUAAAGAGCUCGUAGGCGGUUUGUCGCGUCUGCUGUGAAAACUCGGGGCUUAACCCCGGGCCUGCAGUGGGUACGGGCAGACUAGAGUGCGGUAGGGGAGACUGGAAUUCCUGGUGUAGCGGUGAAAUGCGCAGAUAUCAGGAGGAACACCGGUGGCGAAGGCGGGUCUCUGGGCCGUAACUGACACUGAAAGACGAAAGCCAGGGGAGCAAACGGG
Molecule: ribosomal RNA, 253 nt
Filed under: uncultured bacterium
Lineage: Bacteria
Description: partial 16S ribosomal RNA
Rfam family: Bacterial small subunit ribosomal RNA
Source: RNAcentral